This 1349-nucleotide ribosomal RNA is filed under the name Streptococcus thermophilus. Its description in RNAcentral is "bacterial SSU rRNA". It matches the Rfam family "Bacterial small subunit ribosomal RNA", at positions 29 to 1360 of the family's 1533-position model. The record is from RNAcentral. Lineage: Bacteria; Bacillati; Bacillota; Bacilli; Lactobacillales; Streptococcaceae.
ACGUAACGCUGGCGGCGUGCCUAAUACAUGCAAGUAGAACGCUGAAGAAUAGGAGCUUGCUCUUCUUGGAUGAGUUGCGAACGGGUGAGUAACGCGUAGGUAACCUGCCUUGUAGCGGGGGAUAACUAUUGGAAACGAUAGCUAAUACCGCAUAACAAUGGAUGACACAUGUCAUUUAUUUGAAAGGGGCAAUUGCUCCACUACAAGAUGGACCUGCGUUGUAUUAGCUAGUAGGUGAGGUAAUGGCUCACCUAGGCGACGAUACAUAGCCGACCUGAGAGGGUGAUCGGCCACACUGGGACUGAGACACGGCCCAGACUCCUACGGGAGGCAGCAGUAGGGAAUCUUCGGCAAUGGGGGCAACCCUGACCGAGCAACGCCGCGUGAGUGAAGAAGGUUUUCGGAUCGUAAAGCUCUGUUGUAAGUCAAGAACGGGUGUGAGAGUGGAAAGUUCACACUGUGACGGUAGCUUACCAGAAAGGGACGGCUAACUACGUGCCAGCAGCCGCGGUAAUACGUAGGUCCCGAGCGUUGUCCGGAUUUAUUGGGCGUAAAGCGAGCGCAGGCGGUUUGAUAAGUCUGAAGUUAAAGGCUGUGGCUCAACCAUAGUUCGCUUUGGAAACUGUCAAACUUGAGUGCAGAAGGGGAGAGUGGAAUUCCAUGUGUAGCGGUGAAAUGCGUAGAUAUAUGGAGGAACACCGGUGGCGAAAGCGGCUCUCUGGUCUGUAACUGACGCUGAGGCUCGAAAGCGUGGGGAGCGAACAGGAUUAGAUACCCUGGUAGUCCACGCCGUAAACGAUGAGUGCUAGGUGUUGGAUCCUUUCCGGGAUUCAGUGCCGCAGCUAACGCAUUAAGCACUCCGCCUGGGGAGUACGACCGCAAGGUUGAAACUCAAAGGAAUUGACGGGGGCCCGCACAAGCGGUGGAGCAUGUGGUUUAAUUCGAAGCAACGCGAAGAACCUUACCAGGUCUUGACAUCCCGAUGCUAUUUCUAGAGAUAGAAAGUUACUUCGGUACAUCGGUGACAGGUGGUGCAUGGUUGUCGUCAGCUCGUGUCGUGAGAUGUUGGGUUAAGUCCCGCAACGAGCGCAACCCCUAUUGUUAGUUGCCAUCAUUCAGUUGGGCACUCUAGCGAGACUGCCGGUAAUAAACCGGAGGAAGGUGGGGAUGACGUCAAAUCAUCAUGCCCCUUAUGACCUGGGCUACACACGUGCUACAAUGGUUGGUACAACGAGUUGCGAGUCGGUGACGGCGAGCUAAUCUCUUAAAGCCAAUCUCAGUUCGGAUUGUAGGCUGCAACUCGCCUACAUGAAGUCGGAAUCGCUAGUAAUCGCGGAUCAGCACUCCGC